This is a long non-coding RNA of Papaver somniferum (opium poppy), 1779 nucleotides long. RefSeq lists it as uncharacterized. The transcript has 3 exons. The record is from RefSeq and is a predicted model, not a curated record. NCBI's taxonomy places the organism in Eukaryota, Viridiplantae, Streptophyta, Magnoliopsida, Ranunculales, Papaveraceae.
CUUCUUUUCUUCUUCUUCUUCAUUCUGCAUUCUUCUUUUUUAUUCUCUUUCCUUUUUCCCCUGUUUUUGUUCUUCUGCGAGUGAUUGAGAGUCCAAUCGGGAGGUUUGUGAUCGGUAGGAGGUUUAGAAGAUCAUGAAAUAUUUGAUAGUGAUGAUGUUGUUGUCUGUUGUUGAUUCAAACUCGAAGGAGAAAGUAAAUUAAAAGUUAAGAGUUUCUGAAGUUAGGGUUCGUGAAGAAUUGAUGUUCUGAAGACUUAGAAGAUGAAAUUAGAGUGCCGGUGAAUAAUUAUAGAUGAGUAUGACAUGAAAUAGGGGAUACAGUGGAAGAAUCAUUAGAAUCUGAAGUUAGGGUUUUUGAAAAGAUGAACUGAAUUAGGGUUCUUGAGUUGGUUGAGGGAUUGUGUGAAAUUGAAGAUGAACUAAAGGUUCAGAAGUCUAAUUGAAGAUGGGUUUAUUCUUAAUUGAUGUUUGAUUGAAGUUCCAGGGAUAUUUGAGAAUUAUUUAGGGUUUCUUUGUUAAUCAGGGGUGGUGGUAGAUUCAAAUGAUCUGCCGAAUCGAGUCAGGAGCAAAGAAGGAUUCAAUUCAAUUGUGGAGUGAAACUUUAUUGAGGUAAUUGUUCUUCUCUGAAAUCUUAGUAAGUUCUGAAGUUCAUUUGUUGGAUUUUUAAUUUUCAAUGAAGUAAGAUUUGAGAACGAAUAUGGUGGGUAUGUAAUUGAGCUGUAGUCAUUGUUUUGUGUGAUAUGAACCUAAAAAAAAGAUGUUGAGUUGUUGUUGUUUUGGAUUAUUGGAAUUGAACCUAUAGAACUGGUUUUGAAUAUAAGUUAAUGAAUUAGGGGAAAGUUUAAGAAGAUGGUCGUAUUAUUAUUAGUGGUAUUGAACAAAUGGUGUUGAUAGUGAAAGGAUGGAUGAGUUAGAGGUAUAAUUAAGAAUGAUGUGUACUGAGAAAGUUUAAGACGAGGAUGAUGCCAUGGUGUUGAUGAUGACUGAGUUAUGGUGAUGUUCCUUAACUGGUAGUAUUGGUUGAGAUAUAGGAUGUACUUGGUUGAGAUGUCUUAAGUGAUACUGAAGAGAACUGGCUUGAAAGAUGGGUUUGGUAAUGAAUGUAUAUGAGUAUUAUACAACUGGUGUUGCAAGUAGUGAACACAUGACAUGAAGGAGAUUGUGGUUGUGGUGAUAUGAGCUGAGUAGAAGAGGUGGAGUUAUUAUGUUGCAGGUGCAAGUAAAGUGCAAAUGGAAUCUUAGUGUUAUGGUAUAACUAAGUUAGUAACAUUGUGGGGUGAGUGAAACUUGGAUUGAGUCUCAAGAGCUAAGAGUGCAAGGAUGUGAAGUUAGAGGUGGUGUUGGUACAAAGAUGGGAUGCAUGUGAAGUUAUUAAUGGGAUUAGGUCAAGAAGAAGGCUAGAAAGGUGAUUUACAGUUGUAGGAUUAUAGUUAAGCAAUUGAUGUGAAAGCUUGCAACCUCUGCUGUUGCAGUUAGUCUGUAUUAACAACGAUCUAUUCAAAGGAUGAACCAGUGGAUCGUGGAUCUCGAGGUAGGCGUGGCUUGUCAUCAAAAGAGUUUCAGAGACAAAUCAAGUUGUGCACGUGGUGAUGAAAUCUUUGAGGAGUUGGUUAGCUUCCGCUAUGUUUAUUUUGUGUUUAUAUUCUAUUUGUAAAUCAACUCACUAUUAAAUAUGUAACACUUGAGAGGAGUUCUUGUAUUUAUUUCAGAGAGGGUUUAGAUUCGGGUUAAUCUUUGUUUAGAACUUCUUUCUUAAUGUUUAAAUAGAUGUUUUAGAUC